CAAGCUUGUGUCUAUAGGUAUG
RNAcentral lists this non-coding RNA (22 nucleotides) under Ornithorhynchus anatinus (platypus). The record is from RNAcentral. RNAcentral also lists the same sequence under 15 other names. Lineage: Eukaryota; Metazoa; Chordata; Mammalia; Monotremata; Ornithorhynchidae.